CAGCCGCCGCGGGAAUACGUAGGUGACAAGCGUUGUCCGGAAUUAUUGGGCGUAAAGGGCUCGCAGGCGGUUUCUUAAGUCUGAUGUGAGAGCCCCCGGCUCAACCGGGGAGGGUCAUUGGAAACUGGGAAACUUGAGUGCAGAAGAGGAGAGUGGAAUUCCACGUGUAGCGGUGAAAUGCGUAGAGAUGUGGAGGAACACCAGUGGCGAAGGCGACUCUCUGGUCUGUAACUGACGCUGAGGAGCGAAAGCGUGGGGAGCGAACAGGAUUAGAUACCCCCGUAGUCCCUGUCUCUUAUAC
Molecule: ribosomal RNA, 301 nt
Filed under: uncultured bacterium
Lineage: Bacteria
Description: partial 16S ribosomal RNA
Rfam family: Bacterial small subunit ribosomal RNA
Source: RNAcentral